GACGAACGCUGGCGGCGUGCCUAAUACAUGCAAGUAGAACGCUGGAGGAGGAGCUUGCUUCUCUGGAUGAGUUGCGAACGGGUGAGUAACGCGUAGGUAACCUGCCUGGUAGCGGGGGAUAACUAUUGGAAACGAUAGCUAAUACCGCAUAAUAUUGACUAUUGCAUGAUAGUCAAUUGAAAGGUGCAACUGCACCACUACCAGAUGGACCUGCGUUGUAUUAGCUAGUUGGUGGGGUAACGGCUCACCAAGGCGACGAUACAUAGCCGACCUGAGAGGGUGAUCCGCCACACUGGGACUGGGACACGGCCCAGACUCCUACGGGAGGCAGCAGUAGGGAAUCUUCGGCAAUGGACGGAAGGCUGACCGAGCAACGCCGCGUGAGUGAAGAAGGUUUUCGGAUCAUAAAGCUCUGUUGUAAGAGAAGAACGAGUGUGAGAGUGGAAAGCUCACACUGUGACGGUAUCUUACCAGAAAGGGACGGCUAACUACGUG
Molecule: ribosomal RNA, 495 nt
Filed under: uncultured bacterium
Lineage: Bacteria
Description: partial 16S ribosomal RNA
Rfam family: Bacterial small subunit ribosomal RNA
Source: RNAcentral